Long non-coding RNA from Junco hyemalis (dark-eyed junco), 1692 nucleotides. The record is from Ensembl. Lineage: Eukaryota; Metazoa; Chordata; Aves; Passeriformes; Passerellidae.
GGGAUAGAGUGGGAGGAAGGGGAGAUUUUAAAGUCCUGGUCAAGAUAAUGGGAGCAGUUUCCUUUACGGAUUAUGAAUUUGCUUUCAUAGCUUGGCUCUAGUUUGUUUGCAGGGAACAUGGUUUGGCUCCCACUGUCUUCAGCAAAGCUGGACUGAAGUGGCCUCAGUGCAAGACAGACUCAGAACUUGGCUUUGAAGGGGCCCAUUCUGUUGCUUGUUAGUGGGUCAAAUUUUGGAGCUCUGACUCAGGCUGAACUUUCAGUGGCUUUUGCACCUGGAGAUUUAAAUAUCUGUCUGCAGGGAAGGUGAGCACCAAACGGCAUCCCUAGCUGCAGCUCCUUAAGACGUUACCUCCCCCUUCAUCCCCUCCAGCUGUUUAUUAUUUCCCUUCUGCUGCUGCUUACCACCUCCACGGUGUGUCAGAAGAAUGGGACACGAAUGCUCCCACCUCAGCACAAAGUCUGGCAGCGGCUCCCUUCCAGCUGCUGGGGAAAGGGGUUUAGGCAGAGCUGCCAGCCUUUGCCCAGGAGCCUCGCAGGAGAGUGCGAGAGCUGUUCCAGCGGCGCUGCGCCGGCAGCGGGAGCCUCCGGCACAAGGGAGCAGAUGAACGAGCUGCCGGGGGUGGCAGCGGUGGUGAUAACAUCUGGACCCACCCGAGGAGAGCGCAUCUCCCGAUGCUGUAGGAGUCACAAUUCUGAUUCCCAUGUGGCUGAGGUAGCCAAUGCAGGGAUGAGCACUGGACAAGUGUCUAUAUUGUUGGGGAGAUGCAUCAGCUCCAGCUCUGCUGCCUUUUACUGGAAGCUCAUACAGGAAGCAAAAUGUUGCCCUCCGCUGUUUGCAGCGUUGCUGGAACAGAGAACUCGCUGCGUCCGAGCCAGUCCAGUGCUUUACUCCAGUGUCACAUCCCUGGCACUGGUCAGGGGAUUUGGAGAGAGACGACUCCCACCCAGCCCACAGAUGCUGCAAAGACCUGAAAAAGGUCCCAUCACCCUCCCUGAGCCACCAGGAGUGACAUCCUUCCACUCUUAGGGUGAGCUGCUCCUGCCCUGGCACCUCAGCCUGGGACUGAGACCUGGGGGUUGGCCAUGGAUCACCCGGUUGUCUUCACACUGAGGUGGGUCCAACCAAGACCAACCUCCUCACAUGUCGUGUUUCACAAGAAAACAAAGCAAAGCAGCUCAGUUGUGCAUCCUUGGUCCAAAUUCCUCAUUUUUCCCUUCUCUUUUUUCUUGGUGACUCUUCAAGCUCCUUCUGGUAACUUUAGAGCUAUGCUGGCAAAAUUGUCCCCCUGCUCCUCCUUGCUAGAGAUGCAACACAGAUGGAUUCAUGCCUUUUAUAGACCUUCAACAUCUGAGUGCUGGGAGUAUUAAACCAGUUAGUGGAGGGAGUGACUACUUUUUUUUGUAGAUGUGGAAACUGAGGCAUAGGCUACUUGUCCAGGUGAAAAGAAAUCAGAUUUUAGGGCCAAGGGACACAAUUUCACUUGGAAACCUUUGCUGCAUCAGCUUCCCUGGCAUUUCUUGAGAUGUUUCCGCAAGGGAGGAGACCCUUUCUCCUUUCUUCUUGCCCAGAAAGGAUCAGAAGUCAGGGACAGAGCUGACAACAUGGCACCAUGGACCCAUGACCUCCCUUCUUGUACAAGGGGCAGCAGGCAGAAAUAAAACACAGUUCAGGGCUGGUGGAGCUGGAGGA